GCCGUCCUCGCCGCCGCGGACCCGUACUGCUGGGUAAACAUGUGAAGAACUAACAAGACUGGCAGCGGAAGUUUCCAGGAAAUCAAACAGAAUCACACCCAAGGUGUACAGUUCAGUGGCAUGAAGUACAUUCACAUUGCUGUGUAACCCUCACCACUGUCCAUCUCCAGGACUUUCUCAUCUUCGUCAGCUGAAACGCUGUCUCCAUUAAACACCAGCUCCGUACCCUCCCAUCCUCCAGGCCCUGGAAACCACCUCUGUCUCUAUGAAUGUGACUACGCAGGCAUCUCAUAUGAGUGGAACCCUGUAGUACUUUUUUUUGUGACUGGCUUAUAUCACUUAGCAUAAUGUCCUCAAGAGUCAUCCAGGUUAGUCAUUUCAAGCCCUUCAUUUUCAGAUAAAAAUCAUCUGUAGAUCAUACUUGUUUUGUUGUUGUUGUUGUUUUGUUUUUUGCUUUUUGAGACGGAAUUUCGCUGUUGUUGCCCAGGCUGGAGUGCAAUGGCAUGAUCUCGGCUCACUGCAACCUCCGCCUACCAGGUUCAAACUAUUCUCCUGCCUCAGCCUCCCAAGUAGCUGGGACUACAGGCAUGGCCCACCAUGCCUGGCUAAUUUUGUAUAUUUAGUAGGGACAGGGUCUCUCCAUGUUGGUCAGGCUGGUCUUGAACUCCCGACCUCAGGUGAUCUGCCCACCUCGGCCUCCCAAAGUGCUGGGAUUACAGGCAUGAGCCACCACGCCCUGCCUCUGUUUUAA
Molecule: long non-coding RNA, 751 nt
Filed under: Homo sapiens (human)
Lineage: Eukaryota; Metazoa; Chordata; Mammalia; Primates; Hominidae
Description: HSALNT0265175
Source: RNAcentral